This 253-nucleotide ribosomal RNA is filed under the name uncultured bacterium. RNAcentral's name for it is "partial 16S ribosomal RNA". It matches the Rfam family "Bacterial small subunit ribosomal RNA", at positions 524 to 776 of the family's 1533-position model. The record is from RNAcentral.
UACGUAGGGAGCAAGCGUUGUCCGGAUUUACUGGGUGUAAAGGGUGCGUAGGCGGCUAUGCAAGUCAGGCGUGAAAGCCCGGGGCUCAACCCCGGAAUUGCGCUUGAAACUGUGUAGCUUGAGUGAGGUAGAGGCAGGCGGAAUUCCCGGUGUAGCGGUGAAAUGCGUAGAGAUCGGGAGGAACACCAGUGGCGAAGGCGGCCUGCUGGGCCUUAACUGACGCUGAGGCACGAAAGCGUGGGUAGCAAACAGG